RNAcentral lists this ribosomal RNA (497 nucleotides) under uncultured bacterium. RNAcentral's name for it is "partial 16S ribosomal RNA". It matches the Rfam family "Bacterial small subunit ribosomal RNA", at positions 28 to 507 of the family's 1533-position model. The record is from RNAcentral.
GAUGAACGCUGGCGGCGUGCCUAAUACAUGCAAGUCGAGCGAACGGACGAGAAGCUUGCUUCUCUGAUGUUAGCGGCGGACGGGUGAGUAACACGUGGAUAACCUACCUAUAAGACUGGGAUAACUUCGGGAAACCGUAGCUAAUACCGGAUAAUAUUUUGAACCGCAUGGUUCAAAAGUGAAAGACGGUCUUGCUGUCACUUCUAGAUGGAUCCGCGCUGCAUUAGCUAGUUGGUAAGGUAACGGCUUACCAAGGCAACGAUGCAUAGCCGACCUGAGAGGCUGAUCGGCCACACUGGAACUGAGACACGGUCCAUACUCCUACGGGAGGCAGCAGUAGGGAAUCUUCCGCAAUGGGCGAAAGCCUGACGGAGCAACGCCGCGUGAGUGAUGAAGGUCUUCGGAUCGUAAAACUCUGUUAUUAGGGAAGAACAUAUGUGUAAGUAACUGUGCACAUCUUGACGGUACCUAAUCAGAAAGCCACGGCUAACUACGUG